AGAAUUGGGAUUGCGAGGUUUAUUGGGGAAGUUGGAGUGGGGCUUUUGGGCUUGAGGAUUGUUUCUGGGUCCGUUUUGCACCAUUGAAGGCAUCAGUUUCUCUCCAACUCUGAGAAAAGGGAAAAAGAAAGCAGAGGUCGAGGGGGACAGAGAGACCCUUGCAGAUAUGUGCAGCAAAUUGCAGGAAUCGGAGAGUCCAGUUAAUGACGGUGACAGUUCACCCCGUGGCUC
RNAcentral lists this unclassified non-coding RNA (231 nucleotides) under Hevea brasiliensis (rubber tree). The record is from RNAcentral. Lineage: Eukaryota; Viridiplantae; Streptophyta; Magnoliopsida; Malpighiales; Euphorbiaceae.